RNAcentral lists this ribosomal RNA (606 nucleotides) under uncultured bacterium. RNAcentral's name for it is "bacterial SSU rRNA". It matches the Rfam family "Bacterial small subunit ribosomal RNA", at positions 11 to 624 of the family's 1533-position model. The record is from RNAcentral.
GUUUGAUCCUGGCUCAGAUUGAACGCUGGCGGCAGGCCUAACACAUGCAAGUCGAGCGGGGUUUUCGGACCUACCGGCGGACGGGUGAGUAAUGCGUAGGAAGCUACCCGAUAGAGGGGGAUACCAGUUGGAAACGACUGUUAAUACCGCAUAAUGUCUACGGACCAAAGUGUGGGACCUUCGGGCCACAUGCUAUCGGAUGCGCCUACGUGGGAUUAGCUAGUUGGUGGGGUAAUGGCUCACCAAGGCGACGAUCCCUAGCUGGUUUGAGAGGAUGAUCAGCCACACUGGAACUGAGACACGGUCCAGACUCCUACGGGAGGCAGCAGUGGGGAAUAUUGGACAAUGGGCGCAAGCCUGAUCCAGCCAUGCCGCGUGUGUGAAGAAGGCCUCCGGGUUGUAAAGCACUUUCAGCGAGGAGGAAGGGUUAGUAGUUAAUAGCUGCUAAUUUUGACGUUACUCGCAGAAGAAGCACCGGCUAACUCUGUGCCAGCAGCCGCGGUAAUACAGAGGGUGCAAGCGUUAAUCGGAAUUACUGGGCGCAAAGCGCACGUACGCGGUUUUUUAAGUCAGAUGUGAAAGCCCCGGGCUCAACCUGGGAAUUGC